GAGAGUUUGAUCCUGGCUCAGAUUGAACGCUGGCGGCAUGCUUUACACAUGCAAGUCGAACGGCAGCACGGGCUUCGGUCUGGUGGCGAGUGGCGAACGGGUGAGUAAUACAUCGGAACGUACCCAGAAGUGGGGGAUAACGUAGCGAAAGUUACGCUAAUACCGCAUACGUUCUACGGAAGAAAGUGGGGGAUCGCAAGACCUCAUGCUUUUGGAGCGGCCGAUGUCUGAUUAGCUAGUUGGUGAGGUAAAGGCUCACCAAGGCGACGAUCAGUAGCUGGUCUGAGAGGACGACCAGCCACACUGGAACUGAGACACGGUCCAGACUCCUACGGGAGGCAGCAGUGGGGAAUUUUGGACAAUGGGCGCAAGCCUGACCCAGCAAUGCCGCGUGAGUGAAGAAGGCCUUCGGGUUGUAAAGCUCUUUUGUCAGGGAAGAAACGGUAGAGGCUAAUAUCCUUUGCUAAUGGCGGUACCUGAAGAAUAAGCACCGGCUAACUACGUGCCAGCAGCCGCGGUAAUACGUAGGGUGCAAGCGUUAAUCGGAAUUACUGGGCGUAAAGCGUGCGCAGGCGGUUUUGUAAGUCUGACGUGAAAGCCCCGGGCUCAACCUGGGAAUUGCGUUGGAGACUGCAAGGCUUGAAUCUGGCAGAGGGGGGUAGAAUUCCACGUGUAGCAGUGAAAUGCGUAGAGAUGUGGAAGGAACACCGAUGGCGAAGGCAGCCCCCCUGGGGUCANGAUUGACGCUCAUGCACGAAAGCGUGGGGAGCAAACAGGAUUAGAUACCCUGGGUAGUCCACGCCCCUAAACGAUGUCUACUAGUUGUCGGGGUUUUAAUUAACUUGGGUAACGCA
This 854-nucleotide ribosomal RNA is filed under the name uncultured bacterium. Its description in RNAcentral is "bacterial SSU rRNA". It matches the Rfam family "Bacterial small subunit ribosomal RNA", at positions 8 to 850 of the family's 1533-position model. The record is from RNAcentral.